GAUGAAGAACGUAGCGAAAUGCGAUAAGUAGUGUGAAUUGCAGAAUUCAGUGAAUCAUCGAAUCUUUGAACGCACAUUGCGCCCUUUGGUAUUCCAAAGGGCAUGCCUGUUCGAGCGUCAUUUGUACCCUCAAGCUUUGCUAGGUGUUGGGCGUCUUGUCUCUAGCUUUGCUGGAGACUCGCCUUAAAGUAAUUGGCAGCCGGCCUACUGGUUUCGGAGCGCAGCACAAGUCGCACUCUCUAUCAGCAAAGGUCUAGCAUCCAUUAAGCCUUUUUUUCAACUUUUGACCUCGGAUCAGGUAGGGAUACCCGCUGAACUUAAGCAUAUCAAUAAGCGGAGGA
Molecule: unclassified non-coding RNA, 341 nt
Filed under: soil metagenome
Description: partial contains 5.8S ribosomal RNA, internal transcribed spacer 2, and large subunit ribosomal RNA
Rfam family: 5.8S ribosomal RNA (bases 1-120)
Source: RNAcentral